AUGUCUCAAACGGAAAUACUCUGGUACAACACUCCUAAAAAGUACAUAAAUUCUCUUUGAAAUCUUAGGAGAAAAAGCAAUGGCAUUAAGCUACAGCCUUGCAUCUAGUUUGCCAACGGGCAUCUUUCAUCCUCAAAUUCAAACCGUACCUUGAAUGUAGAAGUUCAGAGUAAGAAAUUUAACCACAAACCCUGAGGAGACUACAGAGUAGCUUGUGGAGUCAGGCAAGUCCCAGCCCUAGGGCCCUAACACAGCUGGCCUGGGUAGUACAGGACCCCUAACCUACAGAAAUAGUUCAAC
Molecule: long non-coding RNA, 300 nt
Filed under: Androctonus crassicauda
Lineage: Eukaryota; Metazoa; Arthropoda; Arachnida; Scorpiones; Buthidae
Source: RNAcentral